UACGUAGGUCCCGAGCGUUAUCCGGAAUUACUGGGCGUAAAGUGUCCGUAGCCUGAUAUUUAAGUCUAUUUUCAAAUAUCUCAGCUUAACUGAGAGAAGGGAAUAGAUACUGUAUAUCUGGAGGUCUUUGGAGGUUAGUGGAAUUUCCGGUGGAGCGGUGAAAUGCGUUGAUAUCGGAAAGAAUGCCGAAAGCGAAAGCAGCUAACUACAGAGAACCUGACGGUGAUGGACGAAAGUUUGGGGAGCAAACGGG
This 253-nucleotide ribosomal RNA is filed under the name uncultured bacterium. RNAcentral's name for it is "partial 16S ribosomal RNA". It matches the Rfam family "Bacterial small subunit ribosomal RNA", at positions 524 to 776 of the family's 1533-position model. The record is from RNAcentral.